This 1025-nucleotide long non-coding RNA is filed under the name Monodelphis domestica (gray short-tailed opossum). Its description in RNAcentral is "lncRNA (ENSMODG00000045426.1)". Lineage: Eukaryota; Metazoa; Chordata; Mammalia; Didelphimorphia; Didelphidae. The record is from RNAcentral.
UUAAUUUAAUAUAUGAGUACAUUUGGUUUAAAAAUAAGUUUGACUUAUUGUUAUGUACAUAGAUGGUGAUAUUUAAGAUCUCUAAGCGUCACCAUUUUAAUAGUUUGAUUUGUAUAUGUGGUAUCAUGUAUGGGGGUUUGAGAACUUUGAAUAAAGCAAAUAUACUUUCUCUUUGGGAACCUAGAUUUGCCAGUGCAAAAGGAGUUUAAAGAGAGCAAGUGUGCCAGAGAGUAAAACCAGGGGCACAUCUGCCUGAAUUUCUUCACUAUAAGUCAUCAGAAGAGGGCUUUUGCAAAUGAUUUUGCAUGACACCCUCCUUCAGAUCAGUGAUUCUCUGUAAAAUGAGCAAUUUUUUAAUAACAACUUUCACACAAGUCUUCCAAAGUUAUAUGAUCCACAUUGCCCCCCUGCCUUCUGUGCUUCCCCCCUCCCAGAGCUGACAAGCAAUUCAGUCUGGGUUAUACAUGUAUUAUCACAUAAAACAUAUUUCCACAAUAUUCAUUUUUGUAAGUGAAUAAUCUAAAACCUGAACCUCAAAUCACACACCCAAAUAAACAAGUGAUAAAUCAUAUGUUUUCAUCUGCAUUUCUGCUCCCACAGUUCUUUCUCUGGAGGUGGAGAGCAUUCUUCCUCCCAAGUCCUCAGAAUUGUCUGAAUCACUGCAUUGCUGUUAGUAGCAAAGUCUGUCACAUUUGAUCAGUCCACAAUAUUGCAGUUGCUGUGAAUAAUGAUCUUGCGGUUCUGCUUACUUCACUCCACAUCAAUUCAUAAUUUAUUUCUAGUCAUCACAGCCCCUUUCUCCCGUCUCCAUACCAUAGAAGGCAUCAUCUGGCAAACAAACAAACAUGGAUAUGUAGAUGAUAUCUUUCAUGCUUCCACUUCUCAGUUCAUUCUCUGGAGAAUUUCUACGGGAAGAUGCUUCACAUGACUGCGCAUGUAGAAUCCAGGUGAGAUUGUUUACCCGCUCAAGGAGAGAAUUUGAGACUCAAUAUUCUUUGGAAACGUUCAUUGUAAUCAAAGGGAAA